This is a long non-coding RNA of Lolium rigidum, 626 nucleotides long. RefSeq lists it as uncharacterized. The transcript has 3 exons. The record is from RefSeq and is a predicted model, not a curated record. NCBI's taxonomy places the organism in Eukaryota, Viridiplantae, Streptophyta, Magnoliopsida, Poales, Poaceae.
UGGCCUCGGGUGCACCACAUGCUGGUGCUUUCCGGCGCUCAACGAGACCACCAUCCCCAUCUCAGACUUCAACGCUGAAGAUCUGGUACAUCUGUUACAAGCUCUUCCUCGAUCGCUCAACUUGGCCAAGGCGGCGAGGACUAAGCUCCAGGUGGCGGCCCUCGUCUCACCUUCCUCUUACAGGUUCCCCGCUGCCUGUCACUGAGCAUCGGGGGUAUUAAAGAUGUCAGCGGUGGCAGGGAGCAUGGGAGCGAUGGCGAAAGCCGGACCGCAGGAGCUUUCUGAGGUGGUCCAUGCCAUGGAAGAGGGUGUCGCACACAAAAAUUGAGAGAACGUCAGCACUGAUAUGGGAAAAGGCGUCGAUGUGGUCAUUGCCUUCUGAGAUGACGCUCAAGGGAAUGACGCGAGUAGGCCAUCUGAUUUGUCUCCUUCCUUGCCCCAGCAGCAUGCUCAUCUUCAGCUUGCAGCUGAUUGUUCUUUUCCUCGAAGCUACAUCACGAAGAUGGGGCACUGCAAAAGUAUGAACUUUAUGCAUGGAUGUCUUUCAUGCUGCUCAACCCAGGCAUGUUGUUGUUGUUGUGCCAUUUUCUCUGAGAUGGGGCUGGUGGUAUUCACCGUGAAGGUAC